This 75-nucleotide transfer RNA is filed under the name Ixodes scapularis (black-legged tick). It matches the Rfam family "tRNA". Rfam says of the family: Transfer RNA (tRNA) molecules are approximately 80 nucleotides in length. Their secondary structure includes four short double-helical elements and three loops (D, anti-codon, and T loops). Further hydrogen bonds mediate the characteristic L-shaped molecular structure. tRNAs have two regions of fundamental functional importance: the anti-codon, which is responsible for specific mRNA codon recognition, and the 3' end, to which the tRNAs corresponding amino acid is attached (by aminoacyl-tRNA synthetases). tRNAs cope with the degeneracy of the genetic code in two manners: having more than one tRNA (with a specific anti-codon) for a particular amino acid; and 'wobble' base-pairing, i.e. permitting non-standard base-pairing at the 3rd anti-codon position. The record is from Rfam by way of RNAcentral. Lineage: Eukaryota; Metazoa; Arthropoda; Arachnida; Ixodida; Ixodidae.
UCCUGGUUAGCUUAUAGUUGAUAGAUCGCUCCACUGGAAAUGGGGAGGUCCCUGGUUCAAUACCAGGACCAGGCG